This 245-nucleotide unclassified non-coding RNA is filed under the name Borreliella garinii. Its description in RNAcentral is "partial 5S-23S ribosomal RNA intergenic spacer". The record is from RNAcentral. Lineage: Bacteria; Pseudomonadati; Spirochaetota; Spirochaetia; Spirochaetales; Borreliaceae.
GAGUUCGCGGGAGAGUAAGUUAUUGCCAGGGUUUUUAUUUUAUACUUUAAACAUUGAUUUUAUUUUUUAUGUUUUUAGAUGUUCAUGUUUUUGAAUGUUUUAUUCGAAUAAUAUAAAAAAUAAAUUAUAUAUAUUGACAUGGAUUAAACAAAGAUAUAUUUAUUCUAUGUUGUAUAAACAAAUUGGCAAAAUAGAGAUGGAAGAUAAAAAUAUGGUCAAAGUAAUAAGAGUCUAUGGUGAAUGCC